This 350-nucleotide ribosomal RNA is filed under the name uncultured Propionibacterium sp. RNAcentral describes it as "bacterial SSU rRNA". It matches the Rfam family "Bacterial small subunit ribosomal RNA", at positions 1049 to 1397 of the family's 1533-position model. Lineage: Bacteria; Bacillati; Actinomycetota; Actinomycetes; Propionibacteriales; Propionibacteriaceae. The record is from RNAcentral.
CUGUNGUCAGCUCGUGUCGUGAGAUGUUGGGUUAAGUCCCGCAACGAGCGCAACCCUUGUUCACUGUUGCCAGCACGUUAUGGUGGGGACUCAGUGGAGACCGCCGGGGUCAACUCGGAGGAAGGUGGGGAUGACGUCAAGUCAUCAUGCCCCUUAUGUCCAGGGCUUCACGCAUGCUACAAUGGCUGGUACAGAGAGUGGCGAGCCUGUGAGGGUGAGCGAAUCUCGGAAAGCCGGUCUCAGUUCGGAUUGGGGUCUGCAACUCGACCUCAUGAAGUCGGAGUCGCUAGUAAUCGCAGAUCAGCAACGCUGCGGUGAAUACGUUCCCGGGGCUUGUACACACCGCCCGU